Molecule: ribosomal RNA, 404 nt
Filed under: uncultured bacterium
Lineage: Bacteria
Description: bacterial SSU rRNA
Rfam family: Bacterial small subunit ribosomal RNA
Source: RNAcentral
UGGGGAAUAUUGGACAAUGGGCGCAAGCCUGAUCCAGCCAUGCCGCGUGAGUGAUGAAGGCCUUAGGGUUGUAAAGCUCUUUCGCACGCGACGAUAAUGACGGUAGCGUGAGAAGAAGCCCCGGCUAACUUCGUGCCAGCAGCCGCGGUAAUACGAAGGGGGCUAGCGUUGCUCGGAAUCACUGGGCGUAAAGGGCGCGUAGGCGGACUUUUAAGUCAGGGGUGAAAGCCCGGGGCUCAACCUCGGAAUUGCCUUUGAUACUGGAGGUCUCGAGACCGGAAGAGGUGAGUGGAACUGCGAGUGUAGAGGUGAAAUUCGUAGAUAUUCGCAAGAACACCAGUGGCGAAGGCGGCUCACUGGUCCGGAUCUGACGCUGAGGCGCGAAAGCGUGGGGAGCAAACAGG